This 842-nucleotide ribosomal RNA is filed under the name Listeria monocytogenes. Its description in RNAcentral is "partial 23S ribosomal RNA". It matches the Rfam family "Bacterial large subunit ribosomal RNA", at positions 1983 to 2824 of the family's 2925-position model. Lineage: Bacteria; Bacillati; Bacillota; Bacilli; Caryophanales; Listeriaceae. The record is from RNAcentral.
CUGACCCGCACGAAAGGUGUAAUGAUCCCUUCGCUGUCUCGGCUGCAGACUCGGUGAAAUUUUAGUACCGGUGAAGAUGCCGGUUACCCGCAACUAGACGGAAAGACCCCGUGGAGCUUUACUAUAACUUGAUAUUGAAAUUUGGUGUAACGUGUAGAGGAUAGGUGGGAGACUAUGAGACCAGGACGCCAGUACUGGUGGAGUCAACCUUGGAAUACCACCCUCGUUACAUUGGGUUUCUAACUUCGACCCGUUAUCCGGGUUAAGGACAGUGUCUGGUGGGUAGUUUGACUGGGGCGGUCGCCUCCCAAAAAGUAACGGAGGCGCUCAAAGGUAUCCUCAGUAUGGUUGGAAAUCAUACAUAGAGCGCAAAGGUAGAAGGAUGCUUAACUGCGAGACUUACAAGUCGAACAGAUACGAAAGUAGGACUUAGUGAUCCGGCGGUCCCGAGUGGAAGGGCCGUCGCUCAACGGAUAAAAGUUACCCCGGGGAUAACAGGCUUAUCUCCCCCAAGAGUUCACAUCGACGGGGAGGUUUGGCACCUCGAUGUCGGCUCAUCGCAUCCUGGAGCUGUAGUCGGUUCCAAGGGUUGGGCUGUUCGCCCAUUAAAGCGGUACGCGAGCUGGGUUCAGAACGUCGUGAGACAGUUUGGUCCCUAUCUGUUGUGGGCGUAGGAAAAUUGAAGAGAGCUGUUCCUAGUACGAGAGGACCGGAAUGGACGCACCCCUGGUGCUCCUGUUGUCACGCCAGUGGCAUAGCAGGGUAGCUAUGUGCGGACAGGAUAAUCGCUGAAGGCAUCUAAGCGAGAAGCCCCCUUUAAGAUGAAUUUUCCCAUUUGUAAG